CCAAAAUAGGAGUGGAUUCGUUUCCAUUCUCACGAUUGCUGGUGGUCUGGAUUAGCAUCGAGCUUUACUUACCGACAUUGAAACAAGACGGGAUUUCCUCCGAAGCUGUUGCUUAUGCAUGGACCGAAUCUCAUGGAAAAGGAUCUGAUGAGUGAGUCCUGCUUAUUUUGGGAAUGAGCUAUUGACAGUUCUCGGAGGAUCGAGAUGCGGUUUUGCUCAGGAAGGAUGGACACUGCGUUGAGCUUUGCAAUCAAUAUCAUAGCAACAGUGCACUCUCGGCAAAGCGCAGAUGUAUAAGCUCGCCUCGCCGAUGGAAAGAGGUCAUGGGACGGCGGCUCUGCCAAUAGGUCCUGAGCGAGCAGCUGGUGAAGGUUGUGAUGGUGGAGCUUGAUUUUUCGGAGGCUCUUCGAAUUGUGCGGAUUCGGGAGGAGUUGCGCAGGACAAUGUAAAGUCGUUACGGAUUAUUGGCCGAUGUGUAUGUCCGUGCUUGAAUUUUGUCUUGGUGAUUCAAUCGUCGUUCUUCUAUAUUUGAUGGCGUGAAGUCCUUAUGGAAUACAUGGGUAAAGUGGAGUAAGAAGCGAUCAAUAUAACUUUCCUAUGCUUCGUCUCAGCAACGCAGUCCAGAAUCUGAGCAGUUUUAUAUAGAAAAGUUCUUUCAUACUAGGUUUAUGCCUUACAUCCAACUCAAGUAUCUUGUGAGCUAUGCAGAAGUUACGCAGUGGUCAUUUGUCAGUGUUCUGUGCAAUGUUUGGAACUAGGAUUUUGUAUGCUGGUGUCAACAUCUGCACGUAAGGCUUGAAGAGUUCCCUUUAAUCGUCAGUUUAAUCCAACCUUAAUGUGUUCAUUUCUUGAAUUUCCUUGUGACAUGAGCUUUUUUGCACUUUUUUGUGGAUUGAAAUCCUUGCACUGCUCAAAUGCCAAAAUCGUUUGACUCCUGUUGACCGACAUUACAAAGCACUGGUUGUUCGUAGAUAUGGCGACUAUUAUGGCAACUCACCUUUGGAGUUAACAUGUUUUGCAUCUGUAAAAUUUAUGACGGGAUUUACAGUAGAACUGUAAGCUGUGUUUAACUUUCCUUUGUAAACGCUGCAGAAACUUGUUUAUUAAUACCUCAUGUGCUUCAGUGAGUUUGAGGUGAAGCAAAUUAUACCGAAAUUAAGUUGUACGGAUAGCAACUUAACUGAUACCACGGGUACAAGUGAGUCUAGUGAGAUAUCAUCUGAUCCAAGUGAUGUGGAAGCAGAUGCUACUACCGAUAUAGGUUUGGAAGUGAACGAGACAGGAUAAAAGUAAUCUGAGAAUGUAGAUGGUGCUGUGGAUGAGGGUUUGGAAGGAAAAACAUGGGACAAUACGAAAAUUAAACUAUAUUGCAAAGCUAUUGUAAUAGAUAAAGGUUUAAGUAGGACACAAGAUUAUCCUUCUGGUAAUCUCGUUUAAAAGAAAGUCGUUGGGAAUGUUUUCUUUUGUCAAGUUGCGAAUUCUUUUUGCAUUGCCACUGUAGCUUGUGAAAGAAGGGAGUGUGCUGAACAUCGAGCUUUCUGGCGAGAUUUCUGAGCAAUACUAAGGUCCGUUCUUGCAAGGUCCAUUGCUGCCACAGAUAUGUGAAAAUUUGAUCAAAGCAGCACAGGAUCCUUGAGUAGCUGGCCUCUUUUCGUUCGUUGAGGCCUAGGACCUGGCCGGAGGAAGCUUGAUGAAAUUAGACGGCACGUGGAAUAUUACAAGCAGUCCGGUGUGCAGCAUCUUUCAAUGGAUUUUUUCGUACUCGCUUAUCUUCUACAUUGAGUGCUUAAGGAGUGGUUCAAUGCUGCAAUGGAUAAACCUUUGCAGACAGUACAGUACAGGUGGUGAAGUACCUGGAUAUUCUCGUGAUGGCAUAACCAGUGAUUCUUUAUUGAGAGCAUCCAAUUUAUGCAAGGUAUGCGGCUAACUACAGUAAGUCUCUCUCUCUCUCUCUCUCUCUCUCUCUCUAUGUGUAUUAGAAGCAAUGACAGCAAGAGUUGUUUAGCUUGAGGCAUUUACUCUGACUGGUUCGAUCGGGGUUGUGACAGUUGUGUGAGAAUAUGUCGAACUUUCUUUGUGCAUAUUUUCUGAUGUACAUUUUGAGAUGUUGGUUUUGUGACAGUAGUCCGACUAGUCUUGAUUAUCACAAUGCUGUUUCUUCUUUCUUUUUUGAGCAUGUCACAAUGAUCUAUCAUCAGGCAUAAUAUGCAGUUCUUGUCGUUUUUGUGGCACCUAAAUUCUAUUUUGCAAAUUUAUAUGAGCGAGUGGGUUUCGCGAAGGAAAUUAUCUCAAAUGGAAUGUUUACUGAGCUUGAUGCGGAUCAACGUCCUUUCAAGUAUGUUGUUAACUGAACGAAUUGGAUUGCACUCAUAGUGCAUGUUGAGGAUGACAAUGUGAUGUUCACACUCUCAGUACUCGACAUCCGAUAUGCAAGUCGAUCGGUCCAAGUUUCAAGCGUCAGCUCUCUCUGAUGAUAGAUAGUGGCUCUGCCCUUCUGUUCCUGUUCCAAUCGUCGUAGACAGGGUUAGUUCUCAGGUAUUGAGUAACCCCUCAAGACAAGGUGCUAGUUUGAGGUGCAGGCCCGAAUGGAUGUUAUCAGUACAGAUGGCGUAGGCACCGGGACUGUUUCGAGACAAGGCAGGGAACACAUUGAAAACUUGCUGAGUUUGAUGUAUUAUUAUGUAUAACAGUUAUUUCAGUUAGAUUUUGUAAAGAGGUCAUAAAAUCGACAGCAAUAUAAAAUUACAACAGAAUGCAUGUUUUUUGCAGAUUGUAUAGAAUUUAUGCGAGUGUUUUCCAGUUUUCAGUACCGACAGUUUUAACACAGAAGUUCAAAUAGCAGUAACAAAGUUCAACACGCUGGAUUUGAAGGAUGUGUAUACUUUUUGAAUAGAGGUCACAGUUGCACAUGAUCAUCAACCAUGUUACUUCUCAAAUCCUAAGUUCACUAUCGCAUGUACAGCUGCCUUGGUGCCCAACAAGAAUGAGAAAGAAUUUUUCUCUACCCGCCGAAUACGCUUUGUGAGGUCCAUAUAGCCUCACGAAGAACAAGGUUCGAAUAGCUCAAGAGUGAUAGACCACUUAACAAAGGCAAUCACAGCGGUGCGCCGCCCUUGUGCAUUAGCAAGCGGAUCUUGUCUCAAGGGUACGUGGUCGAGCACAGAUGAGCUCCUCGCUGAAGUAUUCAUCGUACCUUGAUAAACUACACUACAAGAUGGUGAAAAAGUGAACAAACAGACCGACAGACGGACACAAUUAAAAAAAUGAAAAACGCAGCGCCAUCUUCAGCACCAAGAUCUAGACACAACCGCACAAAAACAGAGGGGGGAAGAAUCAUUCAACACGCUGUGGAAGAAUCAACAACAGCAUUUGGGGAAUCAUUGAGAUGGUAAUCGAAGGCUGACCUGG
Non-coding RNA from Physcomitrium patens, 3408 nucleotides. NCBI's taxonomy places the organism in Eukaryota, Viridiplantae, Streptophyta, Bryopsida, Funariales, Funariaceae. The record is from RefSeq and is a predicted model, not a curated record.